AACAGGAAGCAGCUUGCUGCUUCGCUGACGAGUGGCGGACGGGUGAGUAAUGUCUGGGAAACUGCCUGAUGGAGGGGGAUAACUACUGGAAACGGUGGCUAAUACCGCAUAACGUCGCAAGACCAAAGAGGGGGACCUUCGGGCCUCUUGCCAUCAGAUGUGCCCAGAUGGGAUUAGCUUGUUGGUGAGGUAACGGUUCACCAAGGCGACGAUCCCUAGCUGGUCUGAGAGGAUGACCAGCCACACUGGAACUGAGACACGGUCCAGACUCCUACGGGAGGCAGCAGUGGGGAAUAUUGCACAAUGGGCGCAAGCCUGAUGCAGCCAUGCCGCGUGUAUGAAGAAGGCCUU
Molecule: ribosomal RNA, 351 nt
Filed under: Salmonella enterica subsp. enterica serovar Typhimurium
Lineage: Bacteria; Pseudomonadati; Pseudomonadota; Gammaproteobacteria; Enterobacterales; Enterobacteriaceae
Description: bacterial SSU rRNA
Rfam family: Bacterial small subunit ribosomal RNA
Source: RNAcentral